RNAcentral lists this unclassified non-coding RNA (379 nucleotides) under uncultured bacterium. Its description in RNAcentral is "contains 16S-23S intergenic spacer region". The record is from RNAcentral.
UCCGGCUUAUCACCGGCAGUCCCCCUAGAGUGCCCAGCUUAACCUGAUGGCAACUAGUAGCGAGGGUUGCGCUCGUUGCGGGACUUAACCCAACAUCUCACGACACGAGCUGACGACAGCCAUGCAGCACCGUCUCACCGAUUCCCCGAAGGGCACCCCUCCGCCUCUGGAAGGUUCCGGUGGAUUUAACCCAGGUAAGGUUCUGCGCGUUGCGUCGAAUUGAACCACAUGCUCCACCGCUUGUGCGGGCCCCCGUCAAUUCCUUUGAGUUUCAGUCUUGCGACCGUACUCCCCAGGCGGAAUACUUAACGCGUUAGCUACGGCUCUAGACCGUUGACGGGCCUAAAACCUAGUAUUCAUCGUUUAUGGCAUGGACUAC